GUGAAAACAAUGAAGCCCGCGUCAGCGCGCCCGCGCGCGCAUGGUGAUCUGGGUGUCGCGCAAAAGGUGAGCGUUGAUCUGACACGCGCGCUGAAAGACACACAGGUUGGGGCCGACAGUCAGAUGAAAAACAAAAUCCUUCCGAGGAUUCCAUCUGAGAAAGUGGGGAGGCAGCCGGAAUGCAGUGACACGCCUGGACCUGAACUUCCGCAUCGAGGAGGAAGACGAGGAGGCAAGACGGCCAGAUGCAACGAACAUCAAGACAGAUCUUUGAGUCAUCGAGCUUCAUCGAAGAGGAAGAGCUCAGCGGGGAUCUGAUGUUCAGGAGGCUUUUCCUUUGACACUCACUGCUGUGACAAGGACUGACACUUAAAAACAAAGGUGAGUUAAUCUUUACCUGGACUUAACGGUAAACACCUACAGCUGCUUCUGAACAAAGCUUUGGGUUC
Molecule: long non-coding RNA, 449 nt
Filed under: Oryzias sinensis (Chinese medaka)
Lineage: Eukaryota; Metazoa; Chordata; Actinopteri; Beloniformes; Adrianichthyidae
Description: lncRNA (ENSOSIG00000015843.1)
Source: RNAcentral